Molecule: non-coding RNA, 272 nt
Filed under: Pediculus humanus corporis (human body louse)
Lineage: Eukaryota; Metazoa; Arthropoda; Insecta; Psocodea; Pediculidae
Source: RNAcentral
ACCGAGAGUGGUGAUGUAAUCCUGUAAUCCAACUACUUGGGGAGGCUAGCUAGGUAUAGAGGAUGUUUUAAGGGGGCGGGGAUUCUGGGAUUGGAUUUUCCACGUUGACAAGGCGUCCGCUAAGGGAUAAAUCUUAAACUUGGAUGUCUUGGGAGAGUCCGAGGUAGCCAGGGUGAGUCUGAAAAGGGGAAAAAUCGGCUCAAAAGUCACCGAAUUGACAGUCGUGGGAGUUCAAUUUCAGCUCGUCCAAACAAGAACAGACCUGUACCUAC